Molecule: ribosomal RNA, 484 nt
Filed under: uncultured bacterium
Lineage: Bacteria
Description: partial 16S ribosomal RNA
Rfam family: Bacterial small subunit ribosomal RNA
Source: RNAcentral
AUUGAACGCUGGCGGCAUGCUUUACACAUGCCAGUCGAACGGCAGCGCGGGCUUCGGCCUGGCGGCGAGUGGCGAACGGGUGAGUAAUGCAUCGGAACGUGCCCAGUAGUGGGGGAUAGCCCGGCGAAAGCCGGAUUAAUACCGCAUACGACCUGAGGGUGAAAGCGGGGGACCGAAAGGCCUCGCGCUAUUGGAGCGGCCGAUGUCGGAUUAGCUAGUUGGUGGGGUAAAGGCUUACCAAGGCGACGAUCCGUAGCUGGUCUGAGAGGACGACCAGCCACACUGGGACUGAGACACGGCCCAGACUCCUACGGGAGGCUGCAGUGGGGAAUUUUGGACAAUGGGGGCAACCCUGAUCCAGCCAUGCCGCGUGCGGGAAGAAGGCCUUCGGGUUGUAAACCGCUUUUGUUCGGGAAGAAAUCCUCUGGGCUAAUACCCCGGGGGGAUGACGGUACCGGAAGAAUAAGCACCGGCUAACUACGUG